ACGUGCACCUUGUCACCUUGUCACCAAUUUCCUGCCCGGGAUCCCAGAGCUACCCUUCUUGGAGCCCACAGGGGCAGCCCUUGGCUGGUCCCUGUGAGCCCGUGGACACUGCCAGAGAUGUCCUCUUUCAGUUACAGGACCCUGACUGUGGCCCUCUUCGCCCUGAUCUGCUGUCCAGGAUCGGAUGAGAAGGUAUUCGAGGUACACGUGAGGCCAAAGAAGCUGGCGGUUGAGCCCAAAGGGUCCCUCAAGGUCAACUGCAGCACCACCUGUAACCAGCCUGAAGUGGGUGGUCUGGAGACCUCUCUAGAUAAGAUUCUGCUGGACGAACAGGCUCAGUGGAAACAUUACUUGGUCUCAAACAUCUCCCAUGACACGGUCCUCCAAUGCCACUUCACCUGCUCCGGGAAGCAGGAGUCAAUGAAUUCCAACGUCAGCGUGUACCGUGAGUGGCUGUGUGCGGGGCCCUCCUCUCCCCUGGGACAGAGGCUGUGUCUACUGAAUGCACACAGAGCCCCUCUGUGCCUGCUCCUGGGCACUGUCAUCGUGGGGCCCUGCCUCCCUGAGCUCCUGGGGUGACAAGGGGCAGGACCAGGCCAGCCCUUGGUUGGAUGCCUUGAGCCCGCUGGCAUCUCAAGAUGCAGACAACCCACAUUUUGAGUCUUGCUUAGGGGAGGACAAUCUAACCAACAUUUAGCCAAAUCCAGAAGUCAUUUCCCAACAUAGCUGAGUCACCAGAGCACCCCAUGUCCCGUGCCAAGUAGUGGGGUCACCAUCAGGGGAGCUGAGCCUGUCCAUCUCACGGCAAGAAGGUUGAAGUGUCGCCGAGGGUUUUUAUCUUCCCCUCAGGGCCCACAGCAAAUGUGUGGCCAUCACACUCCACCUGCACAUGAGCCAUGAAAACCUUCCAGAUGGGCUGGGAUAGGACAUCUUGGCGCUAAGGGUAUCACCUGGGUCCAUUCCAUCACCAGUUUCAGUGGAUCAAUGAACAGAAAAACAUCUUAAAUCCAACAUAUUUUCUUGGGGUGGGAGGUGGGGUGAGUGGAAGUGAAGUAUUCUAAUUCAAAAGAGAAUCCAGGGCACCCCCUCGGGUGGUUGAAUACGUGAGGAAUCGUGGUGGCCAUGGCCCUGACCCUGGAGAACCUGGGCAGGUCUGGCUCUGGCCUCUGCCUCCUAAGUGAUGAACUUCACAGCUCAGUUCCUCCAGUGCCCAGUUCCAGUGAGCAAUGCCCAUCUAAGUCUCUCUCAACGUGAUCACCCAACUGUUUAAUGUUUGAAAUUUAUAUUUCAUUUCUG
This 1296-nucleotide small RNA is filed under the name Pan troglodytes (chimpanzee). RNAcentral describes it as "retained intron". The record is from RNAcentral. Lineage: Eukaryota; Metazoa; Chordata; Mammalia; Primates; Hominidae.